Molecule: ribosomal RNA, 253 nt
Filed under: uncultured bacterium
Lineage: Bacteria
Description: partial 16S ribosomal RNA
Rfam family: Bacterial small subunit ribosomal RNA
Source: RNAcentral
UACGUAGGGUCCGAGCGUUGUCCGGAUUUAUUGGGCGUAAAGAGCUCGUAGGCGGCUUGUCGCGUCGUCUGUGAAAUCCCGCGGCUCAACCGCGGGUCUGCAGUCGAUACGGGCAGGCUAGAGUUCGGUAGGGGAGACUGGAAUUCCUGGUGUAGCGGUGAAAUGCGCAGAUAUCAGGAGGAACACCGGUGGCGAAGGCGGCGAUCUGGGAAGAUACUGACGCUGAGGUGCGAAAGCGUGGGGAGCAAACAGG